Molecule: transfer RNA, 73 nt
Filed under: Cohnella luojiensis
Lineage: Bacteria; Bacillati; Bacillota; Bacilli; Caryophanales; Paenibacillaceae
Also listed under: 7 other names
Rfam family: tRNA
About the family: Transfer RNA (tRNA) molecules are approximately 80 nucleotides in length. Their secondary structure includes four short double-helical elements and three loops (D, anti-codon, and T loops).
Source: Rfam by way of RNAcentral
GGGGACUUAGCUCAGCUGGGAGAGCACCUGCCUUGCACGCAGGGGGUCAGCGGUUCGAUCCCGCUAGUCUCCA